This 229-nucleotide ribosomal RNA is filed under the name uncultured bacterium. RNAcentral describes it as "partial 16S ribosomal RNA". It matches the Rfam family "Bacterial small subunit ribosomal RNA", at positions 568 to 796 of the family's 1533-position model. The record is from RNAcentral.
CGCGUAGGCGGCCCUAUAAGUCAGAUGUGAAAGCCCGGGGCUUAACCCCGGAAGUGCAUUUGAAACUAUUGGGCUUGAGUAUGGGAGAGGGAAGUGGAAUUCCUGGUGUAGAGGUGAAUUUCGUAGAUAUCAGGAGGAACACCGGUGGCGAAGGCGACUUCCUGGACCAAUACUGACGCUGAGGCGCGAAGGCGUGGGGAGCAAACAGGAUUAGAUACCCUGGUAGUCC